GGUAGUGGCUCAGAGGUAGAGUGUUUGCCUAGAACGUUGGAGGCCCUGGGUUCAAUCCUCAGCACCA
Molecule: transfer RNA, 67 nt
Filed under: Marmota monax (woodchuck)
Lineage: Eukaryota; Metazoa; Chordata; Mammalia; Rodentia; Sciuridae
Description: tRNA.Ser
Source: RNAcentral